Molecule: non-coding RNA, 48 nt
Filed under: Trichobilharzia regenti
Lineage: Eukaryota; Metazoa; Platyhelminthes; Trematoda; Strigeidida; Schistosomatidae
Source: RNAcentral
AUCCAGCUGCUGAGUCCCAAAUAGGACGAAAUGUACCUUAUCCUGGAU